CAGCCGCCGCGGGAAUACGGAGGGGGCUAGCGUUGUUCGGAAUUACUGGGCGUAAAGCGCACGUAGGCGGUUUAUACAGUCAGAUGUGAAAUUCCUGGGCUUAACCUGGGGGCUGCAUUCAAUACGUGCAGGCUUGAGUGUGGAAGAGGGUUGUGGAAUUCCCAGUGUAGAGGUGAAAUUCGUAGAUAUUGGGAAGAACACCGGUGGCGAAGGCGGCAACCUGGUCCAUUACUGACGCUGAGGCGCGAAAGCGUGGGGAGCAAACAGGAUUAGAUACCCCAGUAGUCCCUGUCUCUUAUAA
This 301-nucleotide ribosomal RNA is filed under the name uncultured bacterium. RNAcentral's name for it is "partial 16S ribosomal RNA". It matches the Rfam family "Bacterial small subunit ribosomal RNA", at positions 509 to 809 of the family's 1533-position model. The record is from RNAcentral.